CCUCUCCAAAAUUGCAAAGAAAUAAGUUAAAUGUCAAUAUUCAUUCUUAUUAGUUCACAUAUCAAACACAAUUUUAUGCUUUUUCAUUAAUUGAGAAGAAACCUACUUUUUUUAACUCACAUUUAUGGAAUAGAAAAACGUUUGCGCUUACAAUUAACAGACAAAAACUUGUUUGAAACAGCGGUCAUGGUCUCAUAUGAAAAAAAACAUGUAAACAAAAGCCCUAAAAAAUAUGUAUCUCCUUGUUUCCUAAUAAUCAUGUUAACUAGUAGCCUAAGGAUUAGUAGUAGUACUAUAAUCAUUUGAAAAGACUAGAUAUUUCCCUUACCCAUCAUAAGUCAUGUAAAUGUG
Long non-coding RNA from Arabidopsis thaliana (thale cress), 351 nucleotides. RefSeq annotates it as other RNA. The transcript has a single exon. Lineage: Eukaryota; Viridiplantae; Streptophyta; Magnoliopsida; Brassicales; Brassicaceae. The record is from RefSeq.